Molecule: long non-coding RNA, 1012 nt
Organism: Hyaena hyaena (striped hyena)
Lineage: Eukaryota; Metazoa; Chordata; Mammalia; Carnivora; Hyaenidae
Exons: 3
Source: RefSeq, a predicted model, not a curated record
AAAGGAAGGAAAUUCCAACAUGGGUGAAUCUGGAGGACAUUAUGCUGAGGGAAGCCGGUCAUAGACAAAUACCGCAUGAGUCCAUUUCUAGGAGGCACCAAGAGCAGUCAAAUUUGAGACAAAGUGGAUUGAUCUAAUGGCAAUCCACGAUAUUUUUCACUCGGAUUGUAUCCCAGGAGGAAUGUGAGGAAAAAGUCUUCAGAUAGCCAAGAACAGCUGCUCUGAAUGCCAGUCCUGGAUGGUGUCAGUUGAGACUGUUGUUGACAGACUUGAGAAUCACCCCUGAUGGCUUCUGAGGAAGGGAAUGACUAAGAUUUCAGACUAGAAGCACUUCAUAAAAACACAUUCCUCUGCCUACUCCAUGAUCCAAGAAUCUGUUUUGAAGCCUGUGUUUUCUGUGAUCAGGCUUCAUUAUCCUAGUAAUGACGGGGUGAUGGGGGAACAGUUGAUAAACAAACCCAUGAAUCACCUCCAUCGCCUAAGCCCAGCGCCUGGACCUCCUCCUGACUGGGCGCUCUGCUGAGUUCUGGACCAGGAGCUCUUCACUGGGUUUGUGACUCAUCUCCCAAACUGCACCAUGAAGACUUGCUAAUAAGCAGAGGAUUGGCCAACAGACACGCAGCAGGGGAAAGUAGAGACCCUCAAAGGACUAGCGGGAGCUGGAGGUAGGGAAUGGAUCUGAUUAUGUAUAUUUGAGAACCAGACAUGGGAAUCACAGCAGAACAGCUCCAAUUACCUUAGCUUUUCAGUAUUUCAGAUGGUCCUCCAAAGGCCUUAGUGAAUUUAAUAGUGCCAGCCUGGUACUAUGGGAAAUAAUGACCCUGCCAUUAAGGGGUGGGGACGUGAUUUGGAGUCGCUUCAGGCAGGCUGAGAAAGGCAGUCUGACACCUCCAUGAACGAGGCUGGUCAGUACUAUCUGGUUCAGAUACUGGUUUGAAGCAAUCCUCUUCAAGGUUCUUGCUGAGGAUUCCAGACUCUGUUGGUCUAGAACAGUGGUUCUUUAGUGGGGAUU